RNAcentral lists this ribosomal RNA (519 nucleotides) under uncultured eukaryote. RNAcentral describes it as "SSU rRNA". It matches the Rfam family "Eukaryotic small subunit ribosomal RNA", at positions 1161 to 1700 of the family's 1831-position model. The record is from RNAcentral.
AGGGCACCACCAGGAGUGGAGCCUGCGGCUUAAUUUGACUCAACACGGGAAAACUUACCCGGCCCGGACACUGGAAGAAUUGACAGAUUGAGAGCUCUUUCUUGAUUCAGUGGGUGGUGGUGCAUGGCCGUUCUUAGUUGGUGGAGCGAUUUGUCUGGUUAAUUCCGAUAACGAACGAGACUCUAGCCUACUAAAUAGACUACCGUUCCUUUGUGACGGUAGGACUUCUUAGAGGGACAGGCGGCGACUCAGCCGCACGAAACAGAGCAAUAACAGGUCUGUGAUGCCCUUAGAUGUCCGGGGCCGCACGCGCGCUACACUGAAGUGAUCAGCGUGCAUUAAUAACCCUCUCUGUCAAGAGUGGGUAACCCAUUGAACCUUCUUCGUGAUUGGGAUAGGGUAUUGUAAUUCUUACCCUUGAACGAGGAAUUCCCAGUAAGCGCGAGUCAUAAGCUUGCGUUGAUUACGUCCCUGCCCUUUGUACACACCGCCCGUCGCUACUACCGAUUGAAUGAUUUA